Molecule: non-coding RNA, 2821 nt
Organism: Arachis ipaensis
Lineage: Eukaryota; Viridiplantae; Streptophyta; Magnoliopsida; Fabales; Fabaceae
Source: RefSeq, a predicted model, not a curated record
GAGUGCUUUUCCUCUUUUUCCCGAUCGAAAGCAAACUCACAACACUUAAUGAAAUUUUUGUUCCCUCCAAAGCUCAUCACUCAUCAUCGCGAAGAACCCUCUCUGAAACCCUCUCUGAAAUUUUUGUUAUCAAAUGCCUUUAUCCCCUUUCUGAAACCCUCUUACCAUCGUGAAGAACCACACGCACCACUCACUAUCGCCACAUCGCCACACACUCACCACUCACCACCCUCACUCACCACAUCGCCACUGACUGUCGCUCCUCUUCGCCCUCCUGCAUUGAGCUGUGCCGCCCUCAACAUCGUCAUCUCUGUGCUUCUCAUCGUCCUUCCCCUUUUAGUUCAAUCAUCAUCUCUGUAACCCUCACCUUCGCCAUUCUCAAUUUCUCACCGUCGCUGGUGAUCGUCGCCACCCAGUAACCACUCACCGCCAGUCACCGUCGCUGUUGAUCGUCACUAUUGCUGCACUGACCAUCGCCCUUCUUCACCGUUCUUCUCAUCAUCGUCUUCUCUGUGCUCACAUCAUUGAAUAUGUUAAAUGGCAUUCCAUAGUGCAGUUGAUGCGCACACUGCUGCUCAUUUAUUCAAUGAAUGUGUCAUGACAGUUCUUAGGAAAAAAACAAUCAUUCUAGUGACUCAUCAAGUGGAGCUUCUCUCAGAAGUUGAUAAAAUCCUAGUAAAGUAUCUCAAUUUUUUUUGAGAUUUCAAGUGUGAUGGAGGGAGGGAAAAUUACCCAGUCAGGUAGUUAUGAUGAUAUCCUAACUGCCGGGACAGCAUUCGAACAACUUAUGGGGUGACCACUUGUUAAGCAAGCACUUCUGAUUCCGAGGCUCUACCAGGAAGUGGUGGUUCAAAUGCUAACAACCAAUGGCGUGAUUUCUUCAAGCUUCUCAAGAAAGGCUCAAGGAUGCCAUUUCAACCAUUUCACCCUCUUAAGAAGAAUGUUCCUAAGUUAACUAGAAGGAAGAGUAAGAGGUCAACUGGGGCAUACAAAGUUGCAUCAAGACUGGCAAGUGCAAUACCACCUCCUUCACAUGUUCUAAGCCGUGGUAUUGGCUGGCAGGGAAUUGGAAUACUGCUAAAUGGACUUUUAGGAGCCGCAACUGGUUCAUCAGUUUCUGUAGAGAAUGUGGGACUCCUUGGAAGCACUCGCGUUGGAAGUUGAAGGGUCAUUCAAAUUUCAGCGGGCUUUAUGAUAUUCUUCUCAAUGUUAGGAAAAUUUGGAGCUUUCUUUGCAUCAAUACCCUUACCUAUUUUUGCAGCUGCACACUGCAUUCUAUUUGGUCUUGUAGUUUCUGUGGGAUUAUCAUUUCUGCAGUUCACUAACAUGAACUCAUUGAGGAACAUCCAAACAUUGUAGUAAUUAUUAUAAGAGAAGUAAUUCUUUGUUGUUAAGUGCUUUUUCAGGUGUUACUUGCAUCAAAUGUGGGAACCCGAUGGACAAAGAACUGAAGAUAAUGGUGAAUGAUUCCAGUAGUGAAGUUACUCAUCGUCAUGAGGAUGGAGCAUUUGUUAAAGGAGAAGCCAUGUACUUGAUUUUUGAUGAUUUGAAAGUGCUUCAAAGCUCUCCUAGAAUCUUUGUGAAGGAACUUGUCCAGCUUGGCUACAAAGAUUUCAACAAUUUGACAGAAAUUUAUCAAAAUGUUGGUCUGAAGGAGUUGCAGGAGUCAAGCAAGUACCAGUACCAUGAGCAACUUUGGGAUUCUCCUUUCAGCCAUGCCUUACCCAGCUGUCUUAAGCCAAGACAUUGUCACUCCUAGCAGUGCAGAAAUCAUCAUACAUAUCUCCUCUAUUUUUUACUGGUGUGUUGGAGGCUGUGGUAGCUGCCUUGUUUAUGAAUAUUUAUAUUGUUGGAUUGAAUCAAUUGUCAGAUAUUGAAAUAGACAAGGAACAAGUAAAGCUGCAAAAUUCUUGAGAGCCAAUGGAAUUUCUCUUUUCAAAGUACCGAAAAAAAUAGUAAAGCUACUUGAAAAAUCUGACCUGUAUUUCUUUAGCCCCGAGCAUCCUCCAUUGAUCGAACCAGCUCAGAAAGCCCUUGACUGGGCUGUGGAUGAGUAAUUGAAGUCAGGGUUUAUGAUCUUUAUGUACUUCUUUGAAACUUACUUGGAUAUACGACAACUUAAGGCACUCAAACUUCCUACUCUUCCAAAGACUUUAGAAGGCGUAAUAAGCCAAGAUAAAUUUUUGAAAUCCAGGGCCUACAGUCUUGAUAAAAGGUUUGUUAUUUUGUUUUUCGAUAUUCGCAGGUCUUCCUGAAGUUUGCUUCUAUAGUUUUAUGUGUCUUGUUAAUGUUCUUAACAUGCAAGUCUUGUAGACCACCUUGUUGUUAUUACCAAUUUUUGUUUCUAUUGUGAGAUUUUCACCGACGAUAGCCGCGACUGGUUUGUGAGAUUUCCAGUUAUUGUUGCUGCCCAUUGCUCAACAAACAGUGGCUUUUCUUCUAGAUCUUAUAUGAUGUGAUGACAGUCUGCAAGAGAGACUAGCAGCUGGACGAAAAAGUUGGUGGCAUAGUUGGUGCUCUUAGUGAUUCUGUCACUGUCUUCCGUGAGAAGAACAAGAUCACUAUCACCUCUGAUAGUAAUUUCUCCAAGCGGAUAAACUUGGAAAUAUGGAGAACAAGUAGCAGAAACAAGAGAAAGAGAUUUAUGGAUUGCGGAAUAUCGUCAAGUUAAUUGUGGUUUAUUGGCUAAGAUAGAGUAAUGUUGGGAAUGGUUACAUAUAUGGUUAGUUGACUAAUGACUUUUAUUAAAAGAUACUUAUGUAGGAUAUGUUUUUUGUAGACUAUUAGUAGUAAAUUCUAAGUGGUAGUAUGGUUAUUUUGA